UGAUUGUGGCAUAGAUAUUGAAUGACACACAAUCACAUAUACCAAGGCAAUAUAUAAAUAUUGAACGACUGAUUAUUUUUCAAAUUAAUUUGUUAAAUCGAGAUCUAUACCAAUCUUAACUAAGUCGACAUACCCAACUUGUUAUCAAGCAUUGGGUUUGUUUGCAAAAAAAUGCUUCAAACUUCAGUAUACAAAAAAAAGAUAACUAUCCCACGCCUGAUGAGUAAGUAAGUAAACUACUAACUAAGAAGCUGUAAUAUACCAUCGUAGAUUUAUUAUCCAUCGACUUGGUAUAUUGUUCCAUGAUAAACAGUAAUUCGAUACUACCAUUCCAUUAGAGGUGAAGUGGUAGUCAUAAAGUUCGUAAUCAAAUCUCGUUCCCAUCGCUCCACUUUAACCACUGCCAUUCGAAGACAGUAAUUGUAUCAAUCUGCACACUGCAUGCAGAGGCAAAGCGGGGAUCUGUGAGCUGCUGCUCGUUGUAACUGAUCAACAUCAGCAACCAUGAACCAUGGUAUCAUCUUUCCCCGACCGUCUUUGCUCGUUUCUUUCUGGGUAAAGUUUUUGCAUUGACAUAGUUCUUGCCUUACCAUCCGCCGCGUUGCACUUGAUGGAAAAGCAAAGAAACGGAACGUAGUUUGUCAGCUAUAAAUACGAUGUACAUCUUAGUUCUCCUCAGUCACGAGUACGACACUUCAACAUCGAAAGCGUGCUCGAACCAAAUUGUCGUAUCGUACAACCACAACUUCUGUAAAAUUCAUUUAAAAAUGAAGCUCUUCCAAGUGUUUCUAAUCCUGUGCGGUUUAAUUGCAUCCACACUGGCCGUCCCGGGACCUCUGCUGCUAAAGAAAGUGAUUGUCAAACAGCCAAUAUUCGUGAAACCCGCCCCCGUCAUCGUCCAUCGACCGAUUGUGGUGAGAAAAUUCGCCUCCCGUGGUGGAUGGUGGUAAUGCGGAUGGGAAGCUACAGGGCCCAUUGAACUUCUCACACUUCGGUACACCGAUGGAGCAAACAAAUCUUAUUAUCGGUCUCCUGGCUGACUUUUACCAUUCCUAUUGCCGCCACUCUCACAAAUCCUCCUGGUGAAGCAUUCCAAAUCACUGCAUCGAUGACAUGAUCCAAUUAGAAUUGUUACCGUGUUACCGAAUGAAGGGCGUUUUAUAUGCAUUCGCACAUACCCAGAAAUUGCUUCAAUUAGACGAAAAGCAGUCCACUCAGCAGCAGGGCAAGCGUAAAACUGACGAGAGCGUACAAUAAAUCGAUUAACAGGAAAGUUCCUGGCAAUCCGUUACGGUUACUACCCUGUUAAACGGCUUGUUGAAGUGUUUCCUGCA
Long non-coding RNA from Anopheles gambiae (African malaria mosquito), 1334 nucleotides. RefSeq lists it as uncharacterized. NCBI's taxonomy places the organism in Eukaryota, Metazoa, Arthropoda, Insecta, Diptera, Culicidae. The transcript is spliced from 2 exons. The record is from RefSeq and is a predicted model, not a curated record.